CCAGAAAGCCUACCAAGAACCAUUGUUUUUGUAGUUUUGCAUUUCCGUUUCCGACAUGACAAUAAAAACUGAAAGUUCGAAUAAACCAGACGCGAUUUUUGAAGACUGUUAAACAUUUAAGCGCCAUCCGGAAUCAAGUUAUUAUUUUGUUGUUGUUAUAGAAAGAAAACUGCAGAAGAAACCUUCAAACGGAUGUCGUUUGACCUUUGACGAAUGUUAAGAGAAUACGGAAGUCUUGGGGCAGUACGACAUUUCCCGCUUCCUGAUCUGGCUCUCUUCCUAUGCUGAUGAUGCAAUUUCUUAUCCAUUACCAGCCUUUAUCGAAUUUUCGGUGCAUCGCGUCACCCGGAUUUUCUCGGAGGUGGAUCAGAAAUAGAACGUGCAAGAGGAUGUCCUAUUCAGGUGUGACGGUUAAUAUUAGAAAUUGCCAUAUUAAGCCACCACCUGGGCCGAAAAUAUUUUUAUUUUUCAGAAAUUUUUACUUUAUUUUUAUGGCGUUAAACCGAAGAAGAGAAAUGGGGAAAGGGCAUGGCAACUUUUAGAUAGAGGUCACACACAAUUCUUCCCACAUAAAAGGGGUUGAAGACAAGUUUGUUGUGAUUCCGGUAGACCGUAUAUAACAGGAAGAGUUCGUACUAACCUGUAAACCCUGAUCGUCGAGUGGCAAUGCACUGCAAUGACCAGGCCCUAAGGAGAUAAUACAUACGAUGGAAAAAUAUCUUUCCCGCUAUUUGGAAAGACGAAAAUCUUCCGAUUAUUGUGUGUGAUAUUGGAGGAGAAUUUCCCAAUUACCGUAUUUUACCGAGUCCAAGCGCAAUUUGUUUUAAUUUUUGUAGCUUCAGACGAAAACACUUUUACAGAUAAAAUAGUUUGGUUUCUUCCUUAUUUUUUGAAUGCCCAAGUAAAAUGUAGAUUUUCUUCUAUAAGUUAAUCAUUUCGGUUAAUUUUGGCUGGCUAUUAAAAGGUAUGGUAUCCUUUCACUGAUGAAGUAAAUAGCCCGAGGCAAAAACGGAGUUAGGUGAGGUCAGGGCAAAGCGUCUAUCCAAGUAAUAUUUGACCUAUCAACAGGAAAUACCUCUCUUUAUCUUCUCUUCCUCCAAUCUCCGUAUUUAUAUUCGAUGCCCGAAACUUCAAUUUUAAAUACAACCUAUGUCUUUCUAUUUAAUUUAGAGACACGGUUUUACCUUUAUUGCUUUUUUAUGCGCGAGUUUAUGGGGUUAAGAGUGUACUACGGUAUAAUAUGCCAUUGGCACGCACCGUAAUGUUUUCCCAUACUGGAGAACACCAGUGAAAAAUUUGACCGUUUUAAAAUUGUGCCUGCCAAACCCGCGCACCAAUUUCGAAAAGAGAAGGGGAAAAACUAUAGUGUGCCUUUUCUUUAGCCUUUGCUGGUCUUAAACUACUUACGGGUUAUUUUUAAGUCUAAACCUGUGUCGAUCUUUCUAGAAGAAAACGCCGGACAUUCUUUAGCCUAUCGUUUUGAUUAUCCAGGACAAGAGCUCGAGAAGACUGCUGGACGUGGGGUCAAACUCCCACGUGCUGCUAAAUGUAUGUCAGCUAUCACGUGCAUCACUCUUAUCGUAAACUGUUUCGGCCGCCAUAAUAACAUAUCAAACGACGAAAUUAAAUUAGAAAAAGGUCACUUUUUUAUAACGAAACGUUAGUCUAUGUUUAGCCAAUUAAUGGUGGCUAUACCACGCUUUCGUGAGCAAAUUAUUGGCAGGAAAACCAGCCGAAGCAUUCCCACGAAUAAAUUCAAUUGUCUACCAGAGUUAUUUUAAGGAUUAGAAGACUAUAAUCUACCUUGUAGCCUAACAAUUAACUUACUACUGCAAAAAUGUAAUAAUAAAACGAAAAAGAAUCGUAUGGUGUCGCCAUCUAGAGGAAAGUAUACAACAGAAAACCAUGAUUAUCACCUAAACUAGAAUAUUGAGUUGCUGUUUUGGUUAACUUCGUGGCUAAUAACAAAACAAUCCAUGAUCUGUUACCAAUAAAUCUGCUAGUACAGGCGGGAAAAAUUGUCAGAAAAGAAUAAAUCGACAGAUGUAGAAAAUAAAAUCGUCUUUGUUUCAUAUAGAGAUAAAAAUAUCUUUGGGAGCCAUCUACCGAAUACGUCAUACUACUAGGGGAGAGAGGAUAUGAUAGAUUUAUCACCAUAAAUGCUCAGCAACAUUGAAACGUC
Molecule: long non-coding RNA, 2182 nt
Filed under: Androctonus crassicauda
Lineage: Eukaryota; Metazoa; Arthropoda; Arachnida; Scorpiones; Buthidae
Source: RNAcentral